Molecule: long non-coding RNA, 1397 nt
Filed under: Homo sapiens (human)
Lineage: Eukaryota; Metazoa; Chordata; Mammalia; Primates; Hominidae
Description: non-protein coding lnc-LGALS7B-1:3
Source: RNAcentral
AACCCACUCACGUCCCCUUCCAUGCUAUGGAAGCUCUGUUCUUUUGCUCUUUGCAAUAAAUCUUGCUGCUGCUCACUCUUUGGGUCCACACUGCCUUUAUGAGCCAUAACACUCACCGCGAAGGUCUGCAACUUCUCUCCAGAGGCCAGCAAGACCACGAACCCACUGGGAGGAAUGAACAACUCCGGACGGGAGGAACGAACCACUCUGGACGCACCGCCUUAAGAGCUAUAACACUCACUGCGAAGGUCUGCAGCUUCAUUCCUGAAGCCAGCGAGACCACGAACCCACCAGAAGGAAGAAACUCUGAACACACCCAAACAUCAGAAGGAACAAACUCCGAACACAUCAGAAGGAACAAACUGCGGACAUGCCGCCUUUAAGAACUGUAACACUCACCACGAGAUUCUGCGGCUUCAUUCUUGAAGUCAGUGAGACCAAGAACCCACCAAUUCCGGAUACAUUUUGGUGACCCAGAUGGGACUAUUACCUAUCGCCAAGCGGUGAGACCACUGCCUAUCGCUGAGCGGUGAGACUAUCACCUAUCGCCAAGCAAUGGGAAACAUUCAGCCAUCAACAGGCUCACCCUUGAAAUGCAUCCUAAGCCGUUGGGACCAAUUUGACCCAUAAACCCUGAAAAAGAGGAGGCUCAUUUUUUUUCUGCACUAUGGCCUGGCCCCAGUAUUCUCUCUCUGAUGGGGAAAAAUGGCCACCUGAGGGAAGUACAAAUUACAAUACUAUCCUGCAGCUUGACCUUUUCUGUAAGAGGGAAGGCAAAUGGAGUGAAAUACCUUAUGUCCAAGCUUUCUUUUCAUGGAGGGAGAAUACACAACUAUGCAAAGCUUACAAUUUACAUCCCACAGGAGGACCUCUCAGCUUACCACCAUAUCCUAGCCUCCCUAUAGCUCCCAUUCCUAUUAAUGAUAAUCUUCCUCUAAUCUCCCCUGCCCAGAAGGAAAUAUGCAAAGAAAUCUCCAAAGGACCACAAAACCCUCCUGGCUAUUGGUUAUGUCCCCUUCAAGCUGUAGGGGGAGGGGAAUUUGGUCCCACCCGGGUACAUGUCCCCUUCUCCAUCUCUGAUUUAAAGCAGAUCAAGGCAGACCUGGGGAAGUUUUCAGAUGAUCCUGAUAGGUACAUACAUGCCCUACAGGGUCUAGGGCAAACUUUCGACCUCGCUUGGAGAGAUGUCAUGCUACUGUUAGAUCAAACCCUGGCCUUUAAUGAAAAGAAUGCAGCUUUAGCUGCAGCCUGAGAGUUUGGAGAUACCUGGAAUCUUAAUCAAGUAAAUGAUAGAAUGACACCUGAAGAAAGGGACAAAUUCCCUAUCGGUCAGCAAGCCAUCCCCAGUAUGGAUCCCCACUGGGACCUUGACUUAGAUCAUGGGGACUGGAGUCGUA